CUGCGGAAGGAUCAUUAUAGUAUUCUAUUGCCAGCGCUUAAUUGCGCGGCGAUAAACCUUACACACAUUGUCUAGUUUUUUUGAACUUUGCUUUGGGUGCAUCAGCCUAGCUGCGUGCCCAAAGGUCUAAACACAUUUUUUUAAUGUUAAAACCUUUAACCAUUAGUCAUGAAAAUUUUUAACAAAAAUUAAAAUCUUCAAAACUUUCAACAACGGAUCUCUUGGUUCUCGCAACGAUGAAGAACGCAGCGAAAUGCGAUACGUAUUGUGAAUUGCAGAUUUUCGUGAAUCAUCGAAUCUUUGAACGCACAUUGCACCCUCUGGUAUUCCAGAGGGUAUGCCUGUUUGAGCGUCAUUUCUCUCUCAAACCUUCGGGUUUGGUAUUGAGUGAUACUCUGUCAAGGGUUAACUUGAAAUAUUGACUUAGCAAGAGUGUACUAAUAAGCAGUCUUUCUGAAAUAAUGUAUUAGGUUCUUCCAACUCGUUAUAUCAGCUAGGCAGGUUUAGAAGUAUUUUAGGCUCGGCUUAACAACAAUAAACUAAAAGUUUGACCUCAAAUCAGGUAGGACUACCCGCUGAACUUAAGCAUAUCAAUAAG
RNAcentral lists this ribosomal RNA (598 nucleotides) under Hansenula anomala. RNAcentral describes it as "eukaryotic LSU rRNA". The stretch from base 202 to 355 matches the Rfam family "5.8S ribosomal RNA". The record is from RNAcentral. Lineage: Eukaryota; Fungi; Ascomycota; Saccharomycetes; Phaffomycetales; Wickerhamomycetaceae.